GACGAACGCUGGCGGCGUGCUUAACACAUGCAAGUCGAACGGAAAGGCCCUGCUUUUGUGGGGUGCUCGAGUGGCGAACGGGUGAGUAACACGUGAGUAACCUGCCCUUGACUUUGGGAUAACUUCAGGAAACUGGGGCUAAUACCGGAUAGGAGCUCCUGCUGCAUGGUGGGGGUUGGAAAGUUUCGGCGGUUGGGGAUGGACUCGCGGCUUAUCAGCUUGUUGGUGGGGUAGUGGCUUACCAAGGCUUUGACGGGUAGCCGGCCUGAGAGGGUGACCGGCCACAUUGGGACUGAGAUACGGCCCAGACUCCUACGGGAGGCAGCAGUGGGGAAUAUUGAACAAUGGACGGAAGCCUGAUGCAGCAACGCCGCGUGCGGGAUGACGGCCUUCGGGUUGUAAACCGCUUUCGCCUGUGACGAAGCGUGAGUGACGGUAAUGGGUAAAGAAGCACCGGCUAACUACGUG
Molecule: ribosomal RNA, 468 nt
Filed under: uncultured bacterium
Lineage: Bacteria
Description: partial 16S ribosomal RNA
Rfam family: Bacterial small subunit ribosomal RNA
Source: RNAcentral